Non-coding RNA from Lentinula aff. lateritia, 90 nucleotides. Lineage: Eukaryota; Fungi; Basidiomycota; Agaricomycetes; Agaricales; Omphalotaceae. The record is from the annotation of a GenBank genome assembly.
GGCCGCCUGGCGAAAUGGCAUCGCGUCUGACUACGAUGGUCUUGCGCAAUAGUAAUCAGGAGAUUGCAGGUUCGACCCCUGCGGUGGUCA